CCUACGGGCGGCAGCAGUGGGGAAUCUUGCACAAUGGGGGAAACCCUGAUGCAGCGACGCCGCGUGCGCGAAGAAGUAUUUCGGUAUGUAAAGUUCUAUUAGCAGGGAAGAAAAUGACGGUACCUGAGUAAGAAGCUUCGGCUAAAUACGUGCCAGCAGCCGCGGUAAUACGUAUGGAGCAAGCGUUAUCCGGAUUUACUGGGUGUAAAGGGAGCGCAGGCGGCCUUGCAAGUUUGAGGUGAAAUACUGGGGCUCAACCCCGGCGCUGUAUUGGAAACUGUGAGGCUUGAGUGUCGGAGAGGCAGGCGGAAUUCCUAGGGUAGCGGUGAAAUGCGUAGAUAUUAGGAGGAACACCAGUGGCGAAGGCAGGCUGCUGG
RNAcentral lists this ribosomal RNA (377 nucleotides) under uncultured bacterium. Its description in RNAcentral is "partial 16S ribosomal RNA". It matches the Rfam family "Bacterial small subunit ribosomal RNA", at positions 338 to 732 of the family's 1533-position model. The record is from RNAcentral.